RNAcentral lists this ribosomal RNA (460 nucleotides) under uncultured bacterium. RNAcentral's name for it is "partial 16S ribosomal RNA". It matches the Rfam family "Bacterial small subunit ribosomal RNA", at positions 339 to 795 of the family's 1533-position model. The record is from RNAcentral.
CUACGGGCGGCAGCAGUAAGGAAUAUUGCGCAAUGGAGGCAACUCUGACGCAGCCAUGCCGCGUGCAGGACUGAAGGCCUUAUGGGUCGUAAACUGCUUUUAUUUAGGAAUAAACUCUUGUACGUGUACGAGACUGAAGGUACUAAAUGAAUAAGCACCGGCUAACUCCGUGCCAGCAGCCGCGGUAAUACGGAGGGUGCAGGCGUUAUCCGGAUUUAUUGGGUUUAAAGGGUGCGCAGGCGAACUAUUAAGUCAGAGGUGAAAUCCCGGAGCUCAACUUCGGAACUGCCUUUGAUACUGGUAGUCUUGAAUACGGUUGAAGUAGGCGGAAUGUAGCAUGUAGCGGUGAAAUGCAUAGAGAUGCUACAGAACACCGAUCGCGAAGGCAGCUUACUAAGCCGAUAUUGACGCUCAGGCACGAAAGCGUGGGGAGCGAACAGGAUUAGAUACCCUCGUAGUC